This 1615-nucleotide long non-coding RNA is filed under the name Oncorhynchus kisutch (coho salmon). RNAcentral's name for it is "lncRNA (ENSOKIG00005036216.1)". Lineage: Eukaryota; Metazoa; Chordata; Actinopteri; Salmoniformes; Salmonidae. The record is from RNAcentral.
UUGUAUUAAUUUUUUGAAACAAGUUAUUUUUUUAUUUCACUUCACCAAUUUCAACUAUUUUGUGUGUGUUCAUCACAUGAAAUCCAAAUAAUAAUCCAUUUAAAUUACAGGUUGUAAUGCAACAAAAUAGGAAAAACGCCAAGGGGGAUGAAUACUUUUGCAAGGCACUACACACACAGCAGGAUAGAUCAUUUCUGACUCACCAAACUGUCAGUACAAUACUGAUGGGCAUCGAUGUGAGCGCUACAAAGUGGGUAACUACGGCAAUGCUGCCCAGAGGACCUGUCGUGGGUGUCUUAUCCCUGAAGCUCUAUCUCUUAAUGCAUAUAGAAGAUCUCCUUCGUCACCUGAGGGAGGCGAAAUCUAGUAUACCCACCAUAAAUGUGGCAGUGGAGGAGGUGGCCAGGAUGAUGAAGGAGGUGCAGCGCAUGGUGCAGGAGAUGAGAGAACUUGGCUGCAGUAACCAGACAAGGAGGCUGCCAGGGAGCAAGAGGAGGCUCAAAAAUGUGAGAUCUGGGCUUUUUGGAUUAGACUAAAGUCACUUACAGUACAGGGCAGCACUUUAUUUAGCAUUAUUUUGAAUGAGACAUUCCAUACAUCAAUGUGACACAAGUUCUUGAUAGAUAUGACUCAAGGUGCAAAGGGUAAUACAUGUGUCCCUCUCAGUAUUGGACUUCAUCAGGAACAAUAUGACAACUCCAUUGGAUGACAACCUGGCUGUAGCCAAUGAGGCGGCAGAGUCCCUGAUGACGUGGGGCUCUGCGUUGAUGAAUCUGGCAGAGGCUGUGGUACAAGCAGAGGAUAUGGUAAACAGGACAUGGAGCCUCAACUCCAGCAGUACUGACUUCCUAAGAGACCUGACGGUAAUGUCAAAUACUGAAGAAUAACAUAUAUGAAAUGUUGUAGAUACAACACAAAAAAAUGUCCCUCCUAUUUCCAAAUAAUCUACUAGCAAUUAAAAGAUGAGCUGGAGAGGAAACGUGAUUCAAUCCAAUCAAUAUGACGAAAGAUAAACUGAGGAAUAUCACAAACCUUUUGUAAAUGAUGAAGGAGCAAAACAAGGUAUGAAGCAGAUGAGGCAUUAAAAAUUUAAUUUAAAUCUUUCAGGAAUACGAGCACCUUGCAGCCGAGGUAGAUCAAAUAAAAUGUAUUUAUAAAGCCCUUCUUACAUCAUCACAGUGAUGUACAGAAACUCAGCCUAAAACCCCAAACAGCAAGCAACGCAGGUAUAGAAGCACAGUGGCUAGGAAAAACUCCCUAGAAAAGCCAGAACCUAGGAAGAAACCUAGAGAGGAAUCAGGCUAUGAGGGGUGGCCAGUCCUCUUCUGGCUGUGCCGGGUGGAGAUUAUAACAGAACAUGGCCAAGAUGUUCAAAUGUUCAUAGAUGACCAGCAGGGUCAAAUAAUAAUAAUCACAGUGGAUUUCGAGGGUGCAACAGGUCAGCACCUCAGGAGUAAAUGUCAGUUGGCUUUUCAUAGCCGAUCAGUAUCUCUACCGCUCCUGCUGUCUCUACCGCUCCUGCAAUGGAACUACAAAUGUAGGUAGACAAAGAGAGGGUUAGGUUGUUCUUAGGUGGGGGCCUACUUCUUCAUACCCCACAGACGUUUCCUAUGUC